Small nucleolar RNA from Rosa chinensis, 86 nucleotides. RefSeq annotates it as small nucleolar RNA Z221/R21b. The record is from RefSeq and is a predicted model, not a curated record. Lineage: Eukaryota; Viridiplantae; Streptophyta; Magnoliopsida; Rosales; Rosaceae. The transcript has a single exon.
AGACUAUGAUGAUUCUCUGAGGAAGUCAUGCACCACUCUGAUUUUCUGUGAAUGAAAAAUUUCUCAUACCCAAUAUAUCUGAGCCU